AUUGAACGCUGGCGGCAUGCCUUACACAUGCAAGUCGAACGGUAACGGGUCCUUCGGGAUGCCGACGAGUGGCGAACGGGUGAGUAAUAUAUCGGAACGUGCCCAGUAGUGGGGGAUAACUGCUCGAAAGAGCAGCUAAUACCGCAUACGACCUGAGGGUGAAAGGGGGGGAUCGCAAGACCUCUCGCUAUUGGAGCGGCCGAUAUCAGAUUAGCUGGUUGGUGGGGUAAAGGCCUACCAAGGCAACGAUCUGUAGUUGGUCUGAGAGGACGACCAGCCACACUGGGACUGAGACACGGCCCAGACUCCUACGGGAGGCAGCGGUGGGGAAUUUUGGACAAUGGGCGCAAGCCUGAUCCAGCAAUGCCGCGUGCAGGAAGAAGGCCUUCGGGUUGUAAACUGCUUUUGUCAGGGAAGAAAUCUUCUGGGCUAAUACCCCGGGAGGAUGACGGUACCUGAAGAAUAAGCACCGGCUAACUACGUGCCAGCAGCCGCCGUAA
RNAcentral lists this ribosomal RNA (500 nucleotides) under uncultured bacterium. RNAcentral describes it as "partial 16S ribosomal RNA". It matches the Rfam family "Bacterial small subunit ribosomal RNA", at positions 30 to 523 of the family's 1533-position model. The record is from RNAcentral.